Physcomitrium patens is the source of this 1899-nucleotide non-coding RNA. NCBI's taxonomy places the organism in Eukaryota, Viridiplantae, Streptophyta, Bryopsida, Funariales, Funariaceae. The record is from RefSeq and is a predicted model, not a curated record.
CUAGCACCGCUGCCUCACACUGACUGCACCCGGCAACCCUUCAGGCCAGCAGGACAAGUAGCAACAGGAUGCAUGUGGACAAGCCACGGUGGGUGCACGAAGCAAAUCCAGCUUCUUCUCGUCCCUACUGCUGAAAUCUGCAGCUCCAGCUCGCACUUAGUAUGUCAUUUCUACGGACAGCUCAUUGUCGCCAGAUUUCGUUUUAAGAAUCAACUCGACAUCAACUCGAUCUUGCUCAUGGUGUUUCUCACUCUCUCUUGCUUUUUCUGUUCCCAUUUUCCCCAACUGAAUUUCAAAAACACUAUUCCACAAACUCUCCAUUCGAGAUGCGGAUCCAGUCGCUAGUAUUAGAGGUCUUUACUACGAGUGUUUCGAUGUGAAUUUUUUUAACCUUUCUCUGUUGAAACAUGAGAAUGACAAUUCCUUUUCUGAUUAAUGGAACAAAUAUAUGUAUAUAUAUAUAUAUAUAUAUAUAUAUGACUUAUCUUUGAAGUGGCAGGAAUGCUUUGCUGACUGAGCUUUACCGACAGAGUUUUACCGACCGAGCUAUCAAAACAUGAGUGAGUAAAUGCCUUUGCUGAUGAAUGGAACAGUAUAUAUAUAUAUAUAUAUAUAUAUAUAUAUAUUAAAUUUUAUUCAUUUAUAUCUUAUCUUUGAAGUGGCUUGAAUGCUAUACUGACUUAGCUUUACCGACUGAGCUGUCAAACUGGACUGCUCGCUGGUCGCACGGAUUUCUGUCAGCACAAAGAAAUGACGAACCAUCAUUUGCAUUUUUUUGUUUAUGUUUGAAUCUUGUUUCAAAGCGUCAGAUUAGCAGAAACUGCACGAAAUCAGUUGUCAUAUUUUAUCUAGAAGUAAAUGUUACAAGUUAGGAGCACCGCGGAGAACAUUCCUAGACUGGAAUGGUUUGGCGCUGGAUGGGGACGCGGACACAAAAUUAGUCAUCCAUAGACAGCUGAUGGGCGUUGCCCGGAUAGAAUCACCUGGGAUCACAAUGCCCUUGCCAAAUAUAUUCGCUGUCAGCUGGCGCACCAAGCCUCGCCGACUUUCAGUGAUUCGUUCCUGCAUCAUCUGGUACCACCGUCAAGGUUGCGAAUCCCUCACCCCCUAAAUUGUAGUUAUAGAGCACAGCCUGCGUGGGUGGUGCUCGACUCUUUUUCUUACCUACAAGUCAUGCGACGCCUGCGUCACUCGCAACUCAUCAUCGACCUUGCCUAGCCAUUCACCUGAAAAGCACCAGCAAACAGUUAACUUUCUAAAACCAACCUUUCAGCUCAAAAUCGGCCUAUCGAGGGCGAGGCAAAAAUCCGCCCAGCGGUGCUCCUAAGGGUGGCAUCGUGACUAUGCUGCAGCGCGCCUGAGUUUCUCCCAGGUGCAACUCGGCAUAGUGGGAAAAUGAUUUAGUCGCAUUUUGAGCCCCAGAGGGUCCCCGCGCAACCUCACGUUAUGCUGCAACUUCUAGGUGUCCUGAGUCCUGCCGCAAGGUUUCUUUGCACUCCAACGCCAAAGGCCCUGGGUCUCUCCCUGGUGCCUCCCGGCACCCGAAACAACUCCCACCUAAUCCGGACUUUGCCCAAAGUCGUGCCCCAAAAGAUCUUUGUUUUGGGACGAUUGUGACAGCUUCCAACCUCUCCAUUUGCUACUCCAGGUGGCCCGGCCAAUAGGCUUGGAGGUGACCGGAGUUCUCAAAGUUUCUAUUAAAAACUCCAAAGCAAGAUGAGGGUCAUUUUUGACCUUCACACCCUCCUCUAUUUUGGUUUGUUCAUAAACCAAGUCCAAUCAUUUAGUACAUAAUGGACUUAUGAACAAUUUAGUUGCCCUUGUACCAAUCAACAUAGAAACAUUUUUGUUAACAACUUGAAACAUAAAUAUAUGAGUUUUUUUAUAAAUUUUUAUCAA